AACAGCUCAAAUUUGAAAUCUGGCUUCCAACGGGAGUCCGAGUUGUAAUUUGUAGAAGGUAUCUCCGGGGCGGCGACAGUCUAAGUUCCCUGGAACGGGGCGUCAAAGAGGGUGAGAAUCCCGUACGUGAUUGCCAGCCAACCCGAUGUGAGGACCUUUCGACGAGUCGAGUUGUUUGGGAAUGCAGCUCAAAAUGGGUGGUAAAUUUCAUCUAAAGCUAAAUACCGGCCAGAGACCGAUAGCGCACAAGUAGAGUGAUCGAAAGAUGAAAAGCACUUUGGAAAGAGAGUUAAAAAGCAUGUGAAAUUGUUGAAGGGGAAGCGCUUGCAACCAGACUUGCCCGCGGGUGAUCAACCUCUUCCCUCGGGGAUUGGUGUACUCAUCCACGAACAGGCCAGCAUCGGUUUUAACCGUCGGACGAAGGCUCAAGGAAUGUGGCUUCCUCCGGGGAGUGUUAUAGCCUUGAGCGUAAUGCGGCGAGUUGGGACCGAGGACCGCACUUUAUAGUUAGGAUGUUGGCGUAAUGGNUGCUAGCGACCCGUCUUGAAACACGGACCAAGGAGUCGACCAACCAUGCGAGUGUUUGGGCAUUAAACCCACACGCGUAAUGAAAGUGAACGGAGGUGGGAACCCCUUUGGGGGCGCACCAUCGACCGAUCCUGAUGUCUUCGGAUGGAUUUGAGUAUGAGCAUUUUUGGUUGGACCCGAAAGAUGGUGAACUAUGCCUGAGUAGGGUGAAGUCAGGGGAAACCCUGAUGGAGGCUCGCAGCGGUUCUGACGUGCAAAUCGAUCGUCAAACUUGGGUAUAGGGGCGAAAGACUAAUCGAACCAUCUAGUAGCUGGUUCCUGCCGAAGUUUCCCUCAGGAUAGCAGCAACUUUUUCAGUUUUAUGAGGUAAAGCGAAUGAUUAGAGGUCUGGGGGCAGAAACUGCCUUCACCUAUUCUCAAACUUUGAAUAUGUAAGAAGUCCUUGUUGCUUAGUUGAACGUGGACAUUUGAAUGUACAGUUGCUAGUGGGCCAUUUUUGGUAAGCAGAACUGGCGAUGCGGGAUGAACCGAACGCGAUGUUAAGGUGCCGGAAUGUACGCUCAUCAGACACCACGAAAGACGUGAAAGCAUCUGGACAGCCGGACGGUGGCCAUGGAAGUCGGAAUCCGCUAAGGAGUGUGUAACAACUCACCGGCCGAAUGCUUUUGCCGUGAAAAUGGAUGGCGCUCAAGCGUGCUACCCAUACAUCGCCGCCA
Molecule: ribosomal RNA, 1244 nt
Filed under: Gyalecta jenensis
Lineage: Eukaryota; Fungi; Ascomycota; Lecanoromycetes; Ostropales; Gyalectaceae
Description: LSU rRNA
Rfam family: Eukaryotic large subunit ribosomal RNA
Source: RNAcentral